This 221-nucleotide unclassified non-coding RNA is filed under the name Hevea brasiliensis (rubber tree). The record is from RNAcentral. Lineage: Eukaryota; Viridiplantae; Streptophyta; Magnoliopsida; Malpighiales; Euphorbiaceae.
AACAUCAUGCCUUCUGCCUCACAUACAAUGGCAUCCAUUAUUUUCUCAGGUUCCAUCAAUAUAAAUAAAUAUCUCCAGAAAUUUAAGAUGAACAUUCUAAAUUGUCUGCAAAUGACAAAUUAAUGUGUCUGACAUUUAAGAAGCUAUUCAACUGGAUGUUUUCUAGAUGUUCUGGUUUCAAAUAACGAGCAAGUCAGUCAAGGAAAUUAUCAAGCAGAAUA